This 259-nucleotide long non-coding RNA is filed under the name Citrus sinensis (sweet orange). RNAcentral's name for it is "long non-coding RNA (CSIN_LNC001045)". Lineage: Eukaryota; Viridiplantae; Streptophyta; Magnoliopsida; Sapindales; Rutaceae. The record is from RNAcentral.
AAUUUCCUGAUCUACUCACAACGAAGCUGACUCACGGUGCUCUCUCUACCUCCUUUCUUGAUCUGCUCACAACGAAACUCUCUCUCUCUCUCUCCUUAUCUUCGCCGAUCUACACACAACAACAAGCUUUCUAUCAUUUUCUCUCCAUAUCUGCUCUCUCUCUAUGUGCCCAUCUCUGUUGAUGCACUUCAUCUCCGGUGCCAUUGCUGCUUCAUCUCGAUCGACGUCGCUGCUGCUUCAUCUCCGUCGCCGCUGGUGC